This 492-nucleotide ribosomal RNA is filed under the name uncultured bacterium. RNAcentral's name for it is "partial 16S ribosomal RNA". It matches the Rfam family "Bacterial small subunit ribosomal RNA", at positions 29 to 507 of the family's 1533-position model. The record is from RNAcentral.
AGUGAACGCUGGCGGUAGGCCUAACACAUGCAAGUCGAACGGCAGCACAGUAAGAGCUUGCUCUUACGGGUGGCGAGUGGCGGACGAGUGAGGAAUACAUCGGAAUCUACUUUUUCGUGGGGGAUAACGUAGGGAAACUUACGCUAAUACCGCAUACGACCUACGGGUGAAAGCAGGGGAUCUUCGGACCUUGCGCGAUUGAAUGAGCCGAUGUCGGAUUAGCUAGUUGGCGGGGUAAAGGCCCACCAAGGCGACGAUCCGUAGCUGGUCUGAGAGGAUGAUCAGCCACACUGGAACUGAGACACGGUCCAGACUCCUACGGGAGGAAGCAGUGGGGAAUAUUGGACAAUGGGCGCAAGCCUGAUCAAGAAAUACCGCGUGGGUGAAGCAGGCCUUCGGGUUGUAAAGCCCUUUUGUUGGGAAAGAAAAGCAGCAGGUUAAUAACCCGCUGUUCUGACGGUACCCAAAGAAUAAGCACCGGCUAACUUCGUG